AUAAAAGCAUUCAUUUUCAAGAGUUAUCUACAGAACAGAUACAGCUUGAGUAGUGGCCUUGAAAGCUCUCUCCACAUUGUCCUACUAAUAUGCCUCAAAAGCCUGGGCUAGAAAGACCACCAUUUAAGGGCAAUUGUAAUUGAAUUUCGAUGGACCAUUCAAUCCUUGGCUUUU
This 174-nucleotide small RNA is filed under the name Gopherus agassizii (Agassiz's desert tortoise). Its description in RNAcentral is "TUC338 (ENSGAGG00000016844.1)". Lineage: Eukaryota; Metazoa; Chordata; Testudines; Testudinidae. The record is from RNAcentral.